ACGACUGCUAAGACUGGAUAGGAGACAAGAGGGCAUCUUCUUGUUUUUAAAAGACCUAGCGGUAGGUAUGCUUAGGGAGGAGCUUGCGUCACAUUAGUUAGUUGGUGGGGUAAAGGCCUAACAAGACUAUGAUGUGUAGCCGGGCUGAGAGGUUGAACGGCCACAUUGGGACUGAGACACGGCCCAAACUCCUACGGGAGGCAGCAGUAGGGAAUUUUCGGCAAUGGAGGAAACUCUGACCGAGCAACGCCGCGUGAACGAUGAAGUAUUUCGGUACGUAAAGUUCUUUUAUUAGGGAAGAAUAAAUGAUGGAAAAAUCAUUCUGACGGUACCUAAUGAAUAAGCCCCGGCUAACUAUGUGCCAGCAGCCGCGGUAAUACAUAGGGGGCAAGCGUUAUCCGGAAUUAUUGGGCGUAAAGGGUGCGUAGGCGGUUAAAUAAGUUUAUGGUCUAAGUGCAAUGCUCAACAUUGUGAUGCUAUAAAAACUGUUUAGCUAGAGUAAGAUAGAGGCAAGUGGAAUUCCAUGUGUAGUGGUAAAAUGCGUAAAUAUAUGGAGGAACACCAGUAGCGAAGGCGGCUUGCUGGGUCUUUACUGACGCUGAGGCACGAAAGCGUGGGGAGCAAACAGGAUUAGAUACCCUGGUAGUCCACGCCGUAAACGAUGAGUACUAAACGUUGGGUAAAACCAGUGUUGAAGUUAACACAUUAAGUACUCCGCCUGAGUAGUACGUACGCAAGUAUGAAACUUAAAGGAAUUGACGGGACUCCGCACAAGCGGUGGAUCAUGUUGUUUAAUUCGAAGGUACCCGAAAAACCUCACCAGGUCUUGACAUGCUUCUGCAAAGCUGUAGAAACACAGUGGAGGUUAUCAGUUGCACAGGUGGUGCAUGGUUGUCGUCAGCUCGUGUCGUGAGAUGUUGGGUUAAGUCCCGCAACGAGCGCAACCCUUAUUGUUAGUUACCAGCACGUAAUGGUGGGGACUUUAGCAAGACUGCCAGUGAUAAAUUGGAGGAAGGUGGGGACGACGUCAAAUCAUCAUGCCCCUUAUGACCUGGGCUACAAACGUGAUACAAUGGCUGUUACAAAGGGUAGCUGAAGCGCAAGUUUUUGGCGAAUCUCAAAAAAACAGUCUCAGUUCGGAUUGAAGUCUGCAACUCGACUUCAUGAAGUUGGAAUCGCUAGUAAUCGCGAAUCAGCAUGUCGCGGUGAAUACGUUCUCGGGGUUUGUACACACCGCCCGUCA
This 1243-nucleotide ribosomal RNA is filed under the name 'Linaria multicaulis' fasciation phytoplasma. Its description in RNAcentral is "bacterial SSU rRNA". It matches the Rfam family "Bacterial small subunit ribosomal RNA", at positions 156 to 1399 of the family's 1533-position model. The record is from RNAcentral. Lineage: Bacteria; Bacillati; Mycoplasmatota; Mollicutes; Acholeplasmatales; Acholeplasmataceae.